This 440-nucleotide ribosomal RNA is filed under the name uncultured bacterium. Its description in RNAcentral is "partial 16S ribosomal RNA". It matches the Rfam family "Bacterial small subunit ribosomal RNA", at positions 338 to 795 of the family's 1533-position model. The record is from RNAcentral.
CCUACGGGAGGCAGCAGUGGGGAAUAUUGCACAAUGGGGGGAACCCUGAUGCAGCAACGCCGCGUGAGUGAAGAAGUAUCUCGGUACGUAAAGCUCUAUCAGCAGGGAAGAAAAUGACGGUACCUGACUAAGAAGCCCCGGCUAACUACGUGCCAGCAGCCGCGGUAAUACGUAGGGGGCAAGCGUUAUCCGGAUUUACUGGGUGUAAAGGGAGCGGAGAAGGCACUGCAAGUCCGGAGUGAAAGCCCAAGGCUUAACCAGGGGACUGCUGUGGAAGCUGGGGGGCGUGAGUGCGGGAGGGGCAGGCGGAAUGCCUAGGGUAGCGGUGAAAUGCGUAGAUAUUAGGAGGAACACCGGCGGCGAAGGCGGCCUGCUGGACCGUAACUGACGUUGAGGCUCGAAAGCGUGGGGAGCAAACAGGAUUAGAUACCCGGGUAGUC